RNAcentral lists this microRNA precursor (74 nucleotides) under Bombyx mori (domestic silkworm). Its description in RNAcentral is "mir-2807 microRNA precursor family". It matches the Rfam family "mir-2807 microRNA precursor family". The record is from Rfam by way of RNAcentral. Lineage: Eukaryota; Metazoa; Arthropoda; Insecta; Lepidoptera; Bombycidae.
UUAACUCAAAUUUGUAUGGAGUUGGAACGUUUGCCGCUAGGGGCGCUGUUCCAAUUGCAUACAAAUUUGAGUUA